This 433-nucleotide ribosomal RNA is filed under the name uncultured bacterium. Its description in RNAcentral is "partial 16S ribosomal RNA". It matches the Rfam family "Bacterial small subunit ribosomal RNA", at positions 28 to 507 of the family's 1533-position model. The record is from RNAcentral.
GACGAACGCUGGCGGCAUGCCUAACACAUGCAAGUCGAACGAGACCUUCGGGUCUAGUGGCGCACGGGUGCGUAACGCGUGGGAACCUGCCCUUAGGUUCGGAAUAACUCCCCGAAAGGGGUGCUAAUACCGGAUAAUGUCUUCGGACCAAAGAUUUAUCGCCUUUGGAUGGGCCCGCGUUGGAUUAGCUAGUUGGUAGGGUAAAAGCCUACCAAGGCGACGAUCCAUAGCUGGUCUGAGAGGAUGAUCAGCCACACUGGGACUGAGACACGGCCCAGACUCCUACGGGAGGCAGCAGUGGGGAAUAUUGGACAAUGGGCGAAAGCCUGAUCCAGCAAUGCCGCGUGAGUGAUGAAGGCCUUAGGGUUGUAAAGCGCUUUUACCCGGGAUGAUAAUGACAGUACCGGGAGAAUAAGCUCCGGCUAACUCCGUG